This 492-nucleotide ribosomal RNA is filed under the name uncultured bacterium. RNAcentral's name for it is "partial 16S ribosomal RNA". It matches the Rfam family "Bacterial small subunit ribosomal RNA", at positions 29 to 507 of the family's 1533-position model. The record is from RNAcentral.
AGUGAACGCUGGCGGCAGGCCUAACACAUGCAAGUCGAACGGCAGCACAGUAAGAGCUUGCUCUUACGGGUGGCGAGUGGCGGACGGGUGAGGAAUACAUCGGAAUCUACUUUUUCGUGGGGGAUAACGUAGGGAAACUUACGCUAAUACCGCAUACGACCUACGGGUGAAAGCAGGGGAUCUUCGGACCUUGCGCGAUUGAAUGAGCCGAUGUCGGAUUAGCUAGUUGGCGGGGUAAAGGCCCACCAAGGCGACGAUCCGUAGCUGGUCUGAGAGGAUGAUCAGCCACACUGGAACUGAGACACGGUCCAGACUCAUACGGGAGGCAGCAGUGGGGAAUAUUGGACAAUGGGCGCAAGCCUGAUCCAGCCAUACCGCGUGGGUGAAGAAGGCCUUCGGGUUGUAAAGCCCUUUUGUUGGGAAAGAAAAGCAGCAGGUUAAUACCCCGCUGUUCUGACGGUACCCAAAGAAUAAGCACCGGCUAACUUCGUG